Molecule: ribosomal RNA, 270 nt
Filed under: uncultured Funneliformis
Lineage: Eukaryota; Fungi; Glomeromycota; Glomeromycetes; Glomerales; Glomeraceae
Description: partial large subunit ribosomal RNA
Rfam family: Eukaryotic large subunit ribosomal RNA
Source: RNAcentral
CCGCUGAACUUAAGCAUAUCAAUAAGCGGAGGAAAAGAAAAUAACAAUGAUUCCCUCAGUAACGGCGAGCGAAGAGGGAUAAGCUCAAAUUUUAAAUCUGUUGGGUUCCGCUUAACAGAGUUGUAUUUUGAAGAAACGUUUUCUGCAUCCAGGAUUAGCCUAAAUCCUUUGGGAUAAGGUAUCAUGGAGGGUGAGAAUCCCGUUCAUGGUUAAUCUUAAGGAAGCUCUACGAUACGUUUUCCAAGAGUCGAGUUGUUUGGGAUUGCAGCU